Molecule: RNA transcript, 2322 nt
Organism: Manihot esculenta (cassava)
Lineage: Eukaryota; Viridiplantae; Streptophyta; Magnoliopsida; Malpighiales; Euphorbiaceae
Gene name: transcription factor HHO5
Exons: 11
Source: RefSeq, a predicted model, not a curated record
UCUAGUUUCGGUUCUUCCCAGUGUUAGUUAGGCUAACUAACGAUAGGAUCAUUUGCCAAAAGAGAAGGCCGGUAAUGGCCAAGGAGCGUAGGAGGACGAUGACGACAUCGGAAACAAGAGAACGAAGACUCUGGGUAUCAGCUAUAGCGUACACUGGUACUUAAUACACCAAAUUUCACAUUUCAUUUUGACAAUCGCCUUCUCGAUUUCUCGAAUUGUCUGUCUCAAAUAUUCAAUCCUUUUCUCUCCUUCUAAGUUCUGAAAAGCUACAAUUCUCGACGAUGAUAGAAGAUAACAUAAUAAGGCAGAGCUUGAGGAACAAGGAACAAGAAGGCAGUCCUCCUUUAUUCCCAACCCUUCAAUGAGGAGGAUGCAUAGUUUGAAGCAGUCAUGAUUCCAAAUCAUUUCUUGAGGAUUGAAGAAGAGAUAAUAAUCCUCAUUCUAAAAUGGAAUGUAAAAAGGAUCAAUCGUGAGCAGCGUGGCAGAAGUGAUAAAGGUCUCUAUGCAUUUGGCUUGGGUCUCAAACUGUCCUAUGUGCCCCAAAGUCUUCCCAAUGCGAUAAAAGAUUUAUCAAUCGGUGAAAGCAACGAGGUCAAACUAUUGUUAUUGAAUGAUUACCUUCUCAAGUGUCAAGAAGAAAUGACUUUCACUGGAGUUUUUAAGCAAGAACUUCCUCAGAGCAGGUCUCUGCUAACGGAUGCAAUUGAGGCUUUGAAAGAGGAAAUGAGGAAAACAAGGAUCGCAAUGGGCCUUGAAUCUGAGAGUUCUCCAGAGGAUGUCUUAGCAACAAAGAAGAGGGGUUCUGAUGAGCAGCAAGGGUUGGACCUGAAUAAUCCAUGUUCUGAUCAAUGGAGUAAUACUCCUACUCAUCACCAUCAUAACAAGGAGCAAAUUUGUGGUAGUUUAUCAAUUGAUCCUUCUCCUAGCAUGGAGGUGAAUUUGACUGUUGGAGAAAAUCAAGAACCCGUGAGUUAUAAGAUGAAACCAUUAACGCAAUGUAUUUGGAAAAACAACCGGAGAUCUUGGACACCGGAGCUUCAUGCUAGGUUUGCGGUGGUUCUUCAUCUGCUAGGUGGCCCUGAAGUGGCUACACCGAAGCAAAUAAGAGAUCAGAUGCAGGUUGAAGGGCUGACCACUAAUCAAGUGAAAAGCCAUUUGCAGAAGUAUAGGAUGAACUGGAGGAGUUCACCAGAGGGUGCGGCUGAUCCCCAGCGGAGAUCAAAGUUGUUCUGCAGGAAUCUAGCAAGACCACCAAGUGCAGCAGCUGAUGCCAUCAACAUGGAAGAAAUAAAUUAAUUGAAGACCUUGCAGAGACAGCUAUAUAUAUUGCCAAAUCCAAGCCAUUGAAAGCUUGAAGGCGGAGGAGGUCAUGAAGAUAAAAAUGAGUAGAAUCUCUGAAGCCAGUGAACAGCUUCUAAUGGAGUGGAAAAACUACAAAAACAUGCAGAGUUCCACCUUUGAAAAGUACAUCCCAGAAGAAAAAAUUCACUUUGUGAGCUCUUCUUCUCAGGUGAAUGAGCUUAAUCACUGUGACAAGAAGCAGAAACCAACACUACUGAACUCCUGUCCAAUCCUGGCAAGCAAGUCUGAUGGGAUAUCUACAAUGAGGCUGUGUUCAUCUACUCCGGCGCUGGCAGUCCUGAAAUGGCCUGGUCAGGAGCUUGCAAAAGGCUCAAGUUGUAACAGCUUGAACCAAAGUGUGAAUGAGCAACCUCUGAAAUUUGAGUCCCAGCCAAUAAGGCCAAAGCCUAAAGAAAUGAAACAUUACAGAAGAUCCUGGACACCAGAGCUUCAUGCCAAGUGAAGGGCUCACAAUUGAUCAAGUAAAGAGCCAUUUGCAGAAGUUUCGGCUUCAGAUUAAAAGAACACAAGCAACCAAACAAAUCCUCUAGGAUGUGUGGAGAUGGUUCAGGAACCAUGGACAUCAGAGUUGUACACUACAGAGGAAUCUAACCUUUGACGACAAGGGAUCCUGUUCAAGAAUACUAGUUUAACCUAAAUACUUGGUAGUAGCAACUCAAAAACAUGCCUUUUUAUGGGAUGUUUAUGGUAAUGAACUGCUUUAUGUAACGCUGUUUUAGAACUUGCCUUUUACUUAGGUUGGAGUAAUAUAUAUUUUCCAGAAGGAAUAUGAUGCAUUUUUGUAUAAGAUUCUUGCAUCUUACAAGGGAUGAAAGAGCACAGACGAGCUUUUUCAUUUGAUCAUUGAAAGAAUGGCAAUAUUUCUGACAAGCCCACAUAUUGUGGGGGCAGAAUUAGCUCUGCUAGAGCAUCUAUGUUUGUGGUUUGCUAUAGAAUUGAAAUCAUGUACAGUAACUGACA